This is an RNA transcript of Gorilla gorilla gorilla (western lowland gorilla), 4819 nucleotides long. It is a transcript of the gene named iron-sulfur cluster assembly 1, with no coding region annotated. The record is from RefSeq and is a predicted model, not a curated record. NCBI's taxonomy places the organism in Eukaryota, Metazoa, Chordata, Mammalia, Primates, Hominidae. The transcript is spliced from 5 exons.
GACAUUCCUCCCGGGCCCUGCGCCCUGCAGCGUGGUAACCCCACUGCCGGAGACCGUGCGCAACCCAGCUGCUAGACCCCCGGCGUUGAGCGGCAAAACCCCGCCCUGAGCGGCUUGCCCCGCCCCCGGCUCGUCACUCAUGCAACUCACCCAAUGGUGGCGGCGGGGGGCGGGGCUAGGGCUGAGGGCGCCGUGCGCCGAAGCUUGUGGCGUCAAUGCGCCUGCCGUGUCCAUGGAGAGAAGCUGAAGCAGCCGACCUUCGGCCCGAGGCACCGGGGCGCCGGGACGGCGAAGAUGUCGGCUUCCUUAGUCCGGGCAACUGUCCGGGCUGUGAGCAAGAGGAAGCUGCAGCCCACCCGGGCAGCCCUCACCCUGACACCUUCAGCAGUAAACAAGAUAAAACAACUUCUUAAAGAUAAGCCUGAGCAUGUAGGUGUAAAAGUUGGUGUCCGAACCAGGGGCUGUAAUGGCCUUUCUUAUACUCUAGAAUAUACAAAGACAAAAGGAGAUUCUGAUGAAGAAGUUAUUCAAGAUGAUGGAGCCUUCCUCUGUCACCCAGGCUGGAGUACAGUGGCAUGAUCUCAGCUCACUGCAACCUCCGCCUCCCGGAUUCAAGCAAUUCCCUGCCUCAGCCUCCCAAGUAGCUGUGAUUACAGGCAUCUGCCACCACGCCUGGAUAAUUUUUGUAUUUUUAGUAAAGAUGGGGUUUCACCAUCUUGGCCAGGCUGGUCUUGAACUCCUGACCUCAUGAUCCACCCGCCUCAGCCUCCCAAAGUGCUGGGAUUACAGGUGUGAGCCACUGCACCCAGCCGACCUUGAGCAAAUUACUUCUCUGUGCCUUUAUUGUAGAAAACAACUUCUAGAAUUGUUGCUAGGAUUCAAUGAGUUAACACAUACAUAGAACAGCUCCUAGCACAUAAUAAGCAGCUAAAUACUUAUUAGCUACUACUAUAAUUGGUACCAGCCAUGUGACCUGGAGCGUGGGCUUCAUUUCCUCACACCUCCCGGGGUCUGCCAGGUCAGAUGCAAUAAUGGGUGUAAAAGACAUUUAUGUACUGUUAAGGUACAUCACAAAAUGUAUAGUAUCAUCACCACAGAUUUAGUUACUUCUAAUGUUGAUUGUUUACUGUCCCUACAGGUAAGCUUACAAUGUAGGAAUCUUUUUGUCUUCUGUCACUGAUGCAUCCUGACCUCCAAAAACAGUGCCUGGUACAUAAAGCACUCAAUAGAGAGUUGUUGAAUUUCUUGAAUGGAUCAAUAAAUUAAUGAACAACUAAAUAAGUGAUCCUGGCUGUCUGAGUCAGCUCAAAUGGCCAUAACAAAAUAUCACAGAUUAGGUGGCUUAAGAAACAGAAAUUUAUUUCUUACUCUCCUGGAGGCUGAAGUCCAAAAUCAAGGCACUGGCCAUUUUGGUCCCUGGUGAGGGCUCUCUUCCUGGCUUGCAGGUGGCUGCCUUCUUUGUGUGUCCUUACACAGCAGAAAGACAGACAGAAAGAGAGAAGGACAGGGAGAGAUAGUGAGGGCUGGUGUCUCUUCUUACAGGGGCACAAAUCUCAUCACCAGGGCCCCACUCUUAUAACCUCUUUAACCUUAAUUACUUCCUCAGAGGCCCUACCUCCAAAUACUGUCACAUUAGAGGUUAGGGUUUCAACAUAUGCAUUUUGGGAGGACACAAUUCAGUCCAUAACACGGCAUGAGUGCACACAUAAGUUUCCAUAAACAUAGAAACAAAAAUUCCGUAAAUUCGUUGUGGCUUGUCACCUCUUGACAUGAACUUCUUUGAGCUCUGGCCAUCUCAGGAUACCUGCACCACCACCAUUAGCACCGUGGCCUUUGUCUUCUUUGCAAGCCUAAACUUAAGUUCUUCAGUGAUCUGAACCCACAGCUAGACCAAAAUCUUCUGCUAAGUUGCUCUCCUUUUGACUGUCUGGCUGAGCUGUUGAAGGCCACAAAAUAUUUAGCAGGUAAAAGUACUGUUCAGGAACUAUAAUAAUUUAUUUUGUAUUCAUGGUGCUUUUCUGGCUUAUAGAACAUUGUUAAUAAGUUGCUGUAAUGUGCGCUUAUAUUUAUGAAUUUAUAAACAUUAUGAAUAAUGUGAUGAUUAUUGAGAGGCAUAUUGCCAAAUGUCCAUAUACUGAUGAUUAGUCUAUGUAUUUAUCAAUGUAUAUAAAUAUGUCAGUUUUGUUUUCAGGGAAAAAACUGUUUGCAAUCUAUAACUUCCAAGGCUCUUAUCUCUAAAUUGAACAUGUGCCUAGGGGUAUCAAACAGAACAAGACCCCAGAUAGUAACUAAAUAGUCCUUUUUCUUAUGACAGCUACUUAAUCUGUAACAAAACAAGCAAACAUAAAAACUAAGUGAUCUCUAAAGCUUACCACCAAGAAAAUAAAUUAGCAACUGAACAAAGCGCCUUCCUUCAGGCUAGAUCUUACAUUCACACACAGUAUCGACUUCAAGCCACUUCAGAAGAGACUCAGAAAGCUGCUGCGCCUGGCCUUGCCCUUAGGUUUGUUAGCUUCAGGGUCACAGUCCCAGCGGGGAGCUGACCCAUUAGUCACACCUGCUUCACAGCCCUGCCAGCACUCACAGGGCCCAGUGAGAAGCCACAGGCAUGCAUGUUGGUAGCCAGGCCAGGAGACCCAAGGGCCACGCCCGUAGUUCUACAGAGUCAUGUUAACCGUGGUUGUUAUGGAGACAGCCAGUGUUCUUCAUGAAUGUGUAGCUGUUUAGUCACUCUGCCUGGGUUCGGGGACAGGCUGGCUCGUUACAAAGGCACCCACUACUGAAGACAGGCUCAGAGGCAGGAGUGGCCCAGCCCUGCCUUGUAGAUGCUGAUUGAGCUCUGCUACAGAAAAUGCUUGACACAAGACUGUGCACCCCACCCCCAUCCCAAACAUGGCUUGACUCUUAAAACAGCCCUGUAUAACCACAAUUGGCUUGUUGCCCUGUUGUUGGCUGCACACACUGAUUUUUCCACAACCUUCAAAACCCUUCCUGAAGGGUGUUGUGGAGCGAAUCCCAGAAGAUAAACACCGUGUGAAUGAACCCAAACGCAGAGGGCUGUGAUUACAGACCCUAGAGCAGCCUUCGAAGUAUGCAGGGUUAUUCCCUAAGGCACCACCUUCUCACUAACCAAAAUGGGACUGACUGGUGCUGAGUCCCUCUCGCUUAUUCUGCUAGGAUGAAGCCUGCUGGAUGCGAACUUUGUGCUGUGCUUUUUGUAUUUGCUAUUUGCAGAGCAGAACAUUAUUUUUUGGUGGAAGAUAGAGAUGUGGAUAUGUGAAUCCCUGCCCUCAAUUAACUCAUAAUCUCUUGGACUCACAUAUUAGCAAUAAGAGGGUGGAAUAGAAAAGCGGCUCCUAACUGAUACAGGGUUAAGCCUGUGUAAUGACAAAUUUCAGAGCUGAACAAGCAGAGGACAAAUCACUUAAAUGCAUGGCUUUAGAGCACUGAGGUCAGAACUACACAGCCAUCAAAAAGAAUGAGGCAAAGCCUGUGUGCUGAUAUGGAAUAAGCCUAAAACACACCAGAGACUGACAAAGUAAGGAGCAGUACAGCCUGUAUGAUGUGUUCCCUUUUGUGGAGAGGAGAGGGGGAGGAGUGCAGAGGGAGUGGAGGGGGAGGGUGGGAAAAUGCAGAGAAUAAGCCCAGAGCAUUCCUAGGAAACUGGCAACAGAUUGUUUGUGUGUUUGUUUGUUUGUUUUGUUUUGAGACUGAAUCUCACUCUGUUGCCCAGGCUGGAGUGCAGUGGUGCGAUCUCGGCUCACUGCAAUCUCCGCCUCCCAAGUUCAACCAAUUCUCCUGUCUCAGCCUCCCGAGUAGCUGGGACUAUAGGCGCAUGCCACUAUGCCCAGCUAGUUUUUGUAGUUUUAGUAGUGAUGGGGUUUCACCAUAUUGGUCAGGCUGGUCUCGAACUCCUGACCUCAGGUGAUCCACCCGCCCCCGCCUCCCAGAGUGCUGGGAUUACAGGCCUGAGCCACCGCACUCGACCUCCCCGCCUUUUUUUUAAAAAAAGCAACUUUGUUGGGGGUGUAACUGAGAGACAAUAAGCUGCACAUAUUUAAAGUAUAUAGUUUGAUAUAUGUAUACACCAGCAAAACUAUCAUCUCAAAAAGUACACAUCUUCAUCCCCCUCAAAGUUUUCUUGGACCCCUUGGCAAUGCCUCCCUCUUGAUCUUCCCCACCCAUUCCUCAUUCCCUAGCCAACACUCCAACACUGAUGUGCUUUCUGUCAAUACAGAUUAGUUGGUAUUUUCUAGAAUUUUUUUUUUUGAGAUGGAGUCUCGCUUUAUCACCCAGGCAGGAGUGCAGUGGUGCGAUCUCAGCUCACUGCAACCUCCGCCUCCUGGGUUCAAGCGAUUCUCCUGCCUCAGCCUCCUGAGUAGCUGGGAUUACAAGCACGUGGCACCAUGCCCGGAUAAUUUUUGUGUUUUUAGUAGAGACAGGGUUUCACUAAUGUUGGCCAGCCUGGUCUCAAACUCCCGACCUUAGGUGAUCCACCCGCUUACACCCCGAAAAGUACUGGGAUUAUAGCCAUGCCGAAAAGUACUGGGAUUAUAGGCAUGAGCCACCGUGCCCGGCCUAGAAUUUAUAUAAAUGGAAUUAUAUGAUAUUUGCUCUUUUUUGUCUGGCUUAUCACACAAUAAUUAUUUUGAGAUUCAUCCAUGUUGUGUGUAUCAAUAGUUCCUUUCUUUUUAAUGUUGAGUAAUAUUUUAUUAUGUGGAUAUAUCACAGUUUUGUAAUAUACAUUUGCCCAUUGAUGAGCAUUUGGGUGGUUUUCUGUUUUGGGCUAUUACAAAUAAAGCUGCUAUGAACAUCUGUA